This 490-nucleotide ribosomal RNA is filed under the name uncultured bacterium. Its description in RNAcentral is "partial 16S ribosomal RNA". It matches the Rfam family "Bacterial small subunit ribosomal RNA", at positions 30 to 507 of the family's 1533-position model. The record is from RNAcentral.
AUUGAACGCUGGCGGCAGGCCUAACACAUGCAAGUCGAACGGUAACGGGAAGAAGCUUGCUUCUUUGCUGACGAGUGGCGGACGGGUGAGUAAUGUCUGGGAAACUGCCUGAUGGAGGGGGAUAACUACUGGAAACGGUAGCUACUACCGCAUAACGUCGCAAGACCAAAGAGGGGGACCUUCGGGCCUCUUGCCAUCGGAUGUGCCCAGAUGGGAUUAGCUAGUAGGUGGGGUAACGGCUCACCUAGGCGACGAUCCCUAGCUGGUCUGAGAGGAUGACCGGCCACCCUGGAACUGGGACACGGUCCAGACUCCUACGGGAGGCAGCAGUGGGGAAUAUUGCACAAUGGGCGCAAGCCUGAUGCAGCCAUGCCGAGUGUAUGAAGAAGGCCUUCGGGUUGUAAAGUACUUUCAGCGGGGAGGAAGGGAGUAAAGUUAAUACCUUUGCUCAUUGACGUUAACCGCAGAAGAAGCACCGGCUAACUCCGUG